UUCUCGAUAGAUCAUAAUUCCUGGAAUUGGUUUAUGGUCCAAAUGAUUCGUCGCCGUAGGAUGGGACUGCGGCCUAUCAGCUUGUUGGUGAGGUAAUGGCCCACCAAGGCUAUUACAGGUACGGGCUCUGAGAGGAGAAGCCCGGAGAUGGGUACUGAGACACGGACCCAGGCCCUAUGGGGCGCAGCAGGCGAGAAACCUUUGCAAUGUGCGCAAGCACGACAAGGUUAAUCCGAGUGUUUCCUGCUAAAGGAAUCUUUUGCCAGUCAUAAAACCACUGAUGAAUAAGGGGUGGGCAAGUUCUGGUGUCAGCCGCCGCGGUAAAACCAGCACCUCGAGUGGUCAGGAGGAUUAUUGGGCCUAAAGCAUCCGUAGCCGGCUGCGCAAGUUUUCGGUUAAAUCUAUGCGCUUAACGUAUAGGCUGCCGAAAAUACUGGGUAGCUAGGGAGUGGGAGAGGUACACGGUACUCAAUAGGAAGGGGUAAAAUCCUUUGAUCUAUUGAUGACCACCUGUGGCGAAGGCGGUGUACCAGAACACGUUCGACGGUGAGGGAUGAAAGCUGGGGGAGCAAACCGGAUUAGAUACCCGGGUAGUCCCAGCUGUAAACGAUGCAGACUCGGUGAUGCCUUGGCUUGUGGCCAAUGCAGUGCCGCAGGGAAGCCGUUAAGUCUGCCGCCUGGGAAGUACGUACGCAAGUAUGAAACUUAAAGGAAUUGGCGGGGGAGCACCACAAGGGGUGAAGCCUGCGGUUCAAUUGGAUC
RNAcentral lists this ribosomal RNA (762 nucleotides) under uncultured bacterium. RNAcentral describes it as "bacterial SSU rRNA". It matches the Rfam family "Archaeal small subunit ribosomal RNA", at positions 150 to 912 of the family's 1478-position model. The record is from RNAcentral.